RNAcentral lists this ribosomal RNA (429 nucleotides) under Actinomycetes bacterium. Its description in RNAcentral is "Actinobacteria bacterium partial 16S ribosomal RNA". It matches the Rfam family "Bacterial small subunit ribosomal RNA", at positions 355 to 776 of the family's 1533-position model. The record is from RNAcentral. Lineage: Bacteria; Bacillati; Actinomycetota; Actinomycetes.
UAGGGAAUCUUCCGCAAUGGGCGAAAGCUUGACGGAGCAACGCCGCGUGAGUGAUGAAGGUCUUCGGAUCGUAAAACUCUGUUAUUAGGGAAGAACAAAUGUGUAAGUAACUAUGCACGUCUUGACGGUACCUAAUCAGAAAGCCACGGCUAACUACGUGCCCGCAGCCGCGGUAAUACGUAGGUGGCAAGCGUUAUCCGGAAUUAUUGGGCGUAAAGCGCGCGUAGGCGGUUUUUUAAGUCUGAUGUGAAAGCCCACGGCUCAAACGUGGAGGGUCAUUGGAAACUGGAAAACUUGAGUGCAGAAGAGGAAAGUGGAAUUCCAUGUGUAGCGGUGAAAUGCGCAGAGAUAUGGAGGAGCACCAGUGGCGAAGGCGACUUUCUGGUCUGUAACUGACGCUGAUGUGCGAAAGCGUGGGGAUCAAACAGG